GCCUGGCUGGCUCAGUCCGUAGAGCACGAAACUGGCCAUCUCGGGGUUGUGAGUUCGAGCCCCACGCUAGGUG
Transfer RNA from Felis catus (domestic cat), 73 nucleotides. It matches the Rfam family "tRNA". Rfam says of the family: Transfer RNA (tRNA) molecules are approximately 80 nucleotides in length. Their secondary structure includes four short double-helical elements and three loops (D, anti-codon, and T loops). Lineage: Eukaryota; Metazoa; Chordata; Mammalia; Carnivora; Felidae. The record is from Rfam.